AUUGAACGCUGGCGGCAUGCCUUACACAUGCAAGCCGAACGGCAGCACGGGAGCAAUCCUAGUGGCGAGUGGCGAACGGGUGAGCAAAGUAUCGGAACGUGCCCAGUCGUGGGGGAUAACGUAGCGAAAGUUACGCUAAUACCGCAUACGAUCUAUGGAUGAAAGCGGGGGAUCGCAAGAACUCGCGCGAUUGGAGCGGCCGAUAUCAGAUUAGGUAGUUGGUGAGGUAAAGGCUCACCAAGCCGACGAUCUGUAGCUGGUCUGAGAGGACGAUCAGCCACACUGGGACUGGAACACGGCCCAGACUCCUACGGGAGGCAGCAGUGGGGAAUCUUGGACAAUGGGGGAAACCCUGAUCCAGCAAUGCCGCGUGGAGGAAGAAGGCCUUUGGGUUGUAAACUCCUGUCGUAGGGGAGGAAGCUAUGUAUUAAAAUAUAAUAUAUAGUUGACUGUACCCUAAAAGGAAGCACCGGCUAACUACGUGCCAGCCGCCGCAGUAA
RNAcentral lists this ribosomal RNA (500 nucleotides) under uncultured bacterium. RNAcentral's name for it is "partial 16S ribosomal RNA". It matches the Rfam family "Bacterial small subunit ribosomal RNA", at positions 30 to 523 of the family's 1533-position model. The record is from RNAcentral.